AUAACAUUUAUUACACUUGAAAAAAUAUAUAAUACAUAAUCUCAUAGAUAACAAUGCAUUUCAUAUUUGCAGGAACGUACGUGUGACCGUUACCAGAGCCACGGUUUAUUUGGGGGCUUACCGGUUACUGGAUAUAAUUCCUAUAGAGCAUGGGACUUUUUACAGAACUAGGUACGGCUUUCAAGUGUCAGCCCAGUUCCCGUAGAUGGAGGACCAUCCCAACAACUACUCCAUAUGCCAGGAGCUCAUUAGACUCCUCCACAAAGCACGGUGUAGUGUUCACCUAAAUAAAAAUCUAUCUCGCAUGA
Rana temporaria (common frog) is the source of this 308-nucleotide long non-coding RNA. RefSeq lists it as uncharacterized. The transcript is spliced from 2 exons. NCBI's taxonomy places the organism in Eukaryota, Metazoa, Chordata, Amphibia, Anura, Ranidae. The record is from RefSeq and is a predicted model, not a curated record.